RNAcentral lists this long non-coding RNA (221 nucleotides) under Gossypium raimondii (Peruvian cotton). RNAcentral describes it as "long non-coding RNA (GRAI_LNC007942)". Lineage: Eukaryota; Viridiplantae; Streptophyta; Magnoliopsida; Malvales; Malvaceae. The record is from RNAcentral.
GGGUCCAAACCGGGAACAUUAAAAAUUUUCCAAAUACUUAAACAAAUUAAAAAUAAUUUAUUUCACUGUUCACAAUAAAACUAUCUGACUGCGCAACAGUCACUAAAUUAAUUAUAAAUCGAGUUACGAAACUCGAAAUUUAAAUCCAUAAAUUUUUCCUAAAACUAGACUCAUAUAUCUUAUUAUCAUAAAAUUUUUAGAAUUUUUGGGUUGGCCAAUUG